Molecule: ribosomal RNA, 467 nt
Filed under: uncultured bacterium
Lineage: Bacteria
Description: partial 16S ribosomal RNA
Rfam family: Bacterial small subunit ribosomal RNA
Source: RNAcentral
GACGAACGCUGGCGGCGUGCUUAACACAUGCAAGUCGAACGGAAAGGCCCUGCUUUUGUGGGGUGCUCGAGUGGCGAACGGGUGAGUAACACGUGAGUAACCUGCCCUUGACUUUGGGAUAACUUCAGGAAACUGGGGCUAAUACCGGAUAGGAGCUCCUGCUGCAUGGUGGGGGUUGGAAAGUUUCGGCGGUUGGGGAUGGACUCGCGGCUUAUCAGCUUGUUGGUGGGGUAGUGGCUUACCAAGGCUUUGACGGGUAGCCGGCCUGAGAGGGUGACCGGCCACAUUGGGACUGAGAUACGGCCCAGACUCCGACGGGAGGCAGCAGUGGGGAAUAUUGCACAAUGGGCGGAAGCCUGAUGCAGCAACGCCGCGUGCGGGAGGACGGCCUUCGGGUGGUAAACCGCUUUCGCCUGUGACGAAGCGUGAGUGACGGUAAUGGGUAAAGAAGCACCGGCGAACUACGU